Daktulosphaira vitifoliae (grape phylloxera) is the source of this 2803-nucleotide RNA transcript. It is a transcript of the gene named mitochondrial inner membrane protease subunit 2-like, with no coding region annotated. The record is from RefSeq and is a predicted model, not a curated record. NCBI's taxonomy places the organism in Eukaryota, Metazoa, Arthropoda, Insecta, Hemiptera, Phylloxeridae. The transcript has 5 exons.
GUUUAGAAUAAUGAUCACUUUUCGUAUUGAUUUUGAAACUGUGAUAAGUUUUAUUUUAGCAAAUCUAGUUUUUUAAAUAAUUACUAAUUAGUAAAAAACAAAUAAGUACACAUAACAUUUUUUUUUACAAAUUAUUAUUGGUUUUGAGUUUUAAUAUGUUCAGAAAAAUCUGUGUGAAAUUUAUAUCCAAAUUAUCAUGUUUAAUAUAGGCGAAACUAUGGAUUACCUUAUGUUGCCAAGUUUAAAAAAAUUAUAGUAAUAUUAUAUUAUUAAUAUCUAGUUCCACUUACGAUGUUCAACCAAUUUUUGGGGGGCUUUAAAAUGUAUAAUAAAAAAAGUUGAAAUUUUUACAAUAACUUUUAUUAUGGAACACAGGUAGAGUAUAUGUGGAUCAGUACGAGCUGUAUCCUCCUCACUUCAUACUCACUCUAUGUAUUAAAAAACUUAUAAUGAAUGAGUGUUUAUCCUAAAUUUGUUAUUGAUCACCAUUAAUCAUUUUUUCUGAGUAAAGAACUAAAAUAUGAUUAUUUUGAAAUAAAUAAAAGUUUAUUAAGUUAUUUCUUAUUAUUAGUAGUAAACAAUAAAAAAUAUGAUUUUAAUAUAGUCCAAAAAUUAUUUUUAACAAAAUGAUAAUUGAAUCAAAAGUUAUAAGCGUUUUCAAUUAAGUCUGAGAAAUGUAAAAAAAAAACAUUUAAUAAAAUAUUUUAAUAUGAAAUAGAAAUUUUUUCUCACAAGGGUAGACUACAGUGAUGGAGUCCUUGAUAUUUAUUGAUGUUAUUCAAUUUAAAUGAUAUAAAAAUCAAACGAACUUAAAUUUUUUUUUCCACAUAAAAAAGAAUUAAGAAAAAAAUGCAAAAAGUUCUUAUAGACUUUUUGUGUUUUUUACUUUUUCUCCUUAUAGAAUGUUUUAAAAAAGAAUAACGUUCCACUAACUUGUCUUCUACGAUUAUUCAGAUGUGAAUGUCGAUAGUCAUGCAAUUUUUGGAUGUGUUCAAUUUUAUACUCAUCGAAAUUGAUGUGUAUACAUUAAUAAUUUAUAAAUUAUUAAUAUAUACGCAUAAAUUUAAAAUGUCACUUAAUGUUGCCAUGAUAAUUUUUCGAAGUCCAAAUAAAAAUGACUACACAGAAUAUGCUCAAGAAUUCUUGAACUAUAUAGUUAAAUCAUUUGAUAAAAUGUAUGGUAACUUUAGUGUGUCAUAAUGUUCAUGGACUUUUACAUUUGACUGAUGAUAAUAACGAUUUUGGGCCCCUUAAUGAAUGCAGCUGUAUUCCAUUCGAAAAUUUUAUGAAAAAAUUUAAGUCAGUAUUCAAAAAAUGUAAAAAACCAUUGCAGCAAUUUAUCCGUAGAUAUGAAGAGCAAUACAUUAAUGUAAAGAAAAAUUUUGGUAGCCCUAAUUAAAGUGAUAAAUUUUAUGAAAAAAGAAAAUUACAUUGCCAGCGUCCCAUAAUUAAUUGGUCCCCAAUAUCAUUAGAUAUAUUGCAGUAGUUUUAAGCUUAAUUCAUUAGUCGAGAGAGAUAAUUAUGUAUUAACCAACUGCGGUAAAAUUAUUAAAAGUUUUGUGUGUCAAUAGAUUAGUAAUAAAUUAAUCUCGGUCAUUGUUGGUAAAUAUUUUAUUUAUAUAAUUCCAGCUUAUUCUGAACCUCUUUUGUCUACUCUACUGGGUAUUUAUAAAAUAAAUAAUAUUUCUAAAAAUUAUAUUGUAGUUAAGGAAAAUAAAAUAAAAUGUAAAAUGAUGGUUAUUACUGUAGCUGACAAAACAAUUGCUAUUCCAUUAGUCUAAUUAUGUGAACAAUCGUUCAUUUCACACAAGAUAACAAUGUCGAAGCAGUUCCAAGUACUUGGUUCAACAAAGUUACAAAUGAAUGUGCUUGACCUAAUAAAACAAUUCUACAAAAGCAAUACAAAAUCAUACACUACCUAAUAAUUCAAAUUUUUACUAUUUAAAGGCUAGACAAAUUAACUCUGCUACUUAUGGUAUAACAAAAUUUCUAAACUUAUGAACAAGCAAAAAACAAAAGAAAAUAUAGCACAGGAAUCUUCAGAUUUAUCAGAAUUUGAAAAUAUAAAAGAAAUGAGAAAAAACAGAGCUAGAAAAGAAUUUUCUUUUCUUAAAAAGGCUCAAGAUAAACCAAAAAUAAAAUCUCACCUUCAACCUCUUAACGCUUUUAGUAAAUCCUACAUGGUUGUUGCUAAAAAUUCGAGUAAUCAUAUAGAAUAUAAUCAUGUUUCUGAUGAUAACAGUUUAAAAUACUCAGAUUUUAAAUUAAGAAAUAAGAAAUUAUCAUUGCUCACAACUUCUAAAAGUCAUGGAGAAUCUGUGAGGCGUAUUAUGACAAAAAUGUUUCAUUAUUCAGUAUUAGUUCAUUUUUCAACUUAUGGUUUUUAAAAGAAACAAAGAUUUUCUGAUUUACUAUCACAUCAUCUGAUCAAAGAUAUAAUAAGGACUAAUGUCAAGUAUGGAAUGAUUCUUGAAAAAGAAAUUGACUGUGAAAUUAGUGUGUGGUUAGCUCAUUCCGAACUAUAAUUAGUGAAGUAUAGAAUAUACAUGAAUGUGUAAAUAAUUGAAUUAUUUGCAUUAUAAAAUAAAGAAUUAUUUGUUUCAUUUUUAACAGUUUAAACCAACUUAAUUUUUUUUUUUUUUUAAUUAUGAAUAUGUUAUGAUUUUAAUUUAAAUUGUUUAAAACAAAUUAUUUUAAUGUUAUUGUUUUAAUAAAUAUGUUAAAAUGUAAUUUUAACCGUUUAAAUCCAAUGAUUAUAUUAUGCUUUUAAAUUUAUUACUAUUAUUUCUAUUUAAGUUAUCUA